This 91-nucleotide small RNA is filed under the name Flavobacterium weaverense. Its description in RNAcentral is "Flavo-1 RNA". It matches the Rfam family "Flavo-1 RNA". Lineage: Bacteria; Pseudomonadati; Bacteroidota; Flavobacteriia; Flavobacteriales; Flavobacteriaceae. The record is from RNAcentral.
UUUUUGCGUGAGGGAUUGAAGUGAAGCUCUUUUUAUUGGAGUGAUGUUUAUCACUUUAAUAAAAAAGCGGGAACAAAAAGCCCGACCCAAA